AGAGUUUGAUCCUGGCUCAGGAUGAACGCUGGCGGCGUGCUUAACACAUGCAAGUCGAACGCACUCUCGUUUAGAUUGAAGGAGCUUGCUCCUGAUUGAUAAACAUUUGAGUGAGUGGCGGACGGGUGAGUAACACGUGGGUAACCUGCCCUAAAGUGGGGGAUAACAUUUGGAAACAGAUGCUAAUACCGCAUAAAACCUAACACCGCAUGGUGUAGGGUUGAAAGAUGGUUUCGGCUAUCACUUUAGGAUGGACCCGCGGUGCAUUAGUUAGUUGGUGAGGUAAAGGCUUACCAAGACCGUGAUGCAUAGCCGACCUGAGAGGGUAAUCGGCCACACUGGGACUGAGACACGGCCCAGACUCCUACGGGAGGCAGCAGUAGGGAAUCUUCCACAAUGGACGAAAGUCUGAUGGAGCAACGCCGCGUGAGUGAAGAAGGUUUUCGGAUCGUAAAACUCUGUUGUUGGAGAAGAAUGUAUCUGAUAGUAACUGAUCAGGUAGUGACGGUAUCCAACCAGAAAGCCACGGCUAACUACGUGCCAGCAGCCGCGGUAAUACGUAGGUGGCAAGCGUUGUCCGGAUUUAUUGGGCGUAAAGCGAGCGCAGGCGGUUUCUUAAGUCUGAUGUGAAAGCCUUCGGCUCAACCGAAGAAGUGCAUCGGAAACUGGGAAACUUGAGUGCAGAAGAGGACAGUGGAACUCCAUGUGUAGCGGUGAAAUGCGUAGAUAUAUGGAAGAACACCAGUGGCGAAGGCGGCUGUCUGGUCUGUAACUGACGCUGAGGCUCGAAAGCAUGGGUAGCAAACAGGAUUAGAUACCCUGGUAGUCCAUGCCGUAAACGAUGAGUG
Molecule: ribosomal RNA, 848 nt
Filed under: uncultured bacterium
Lineage: Bacteria
Description: bacterial SSU rRNA
Rfam family: Bacterial small subunit ribosomal RNA
Source: RNAcentral